Molecule: RNA transcript, 1687 nt
Organism: Gossypium arboreum
Lineage: Eukaryota; Viridiplantae; Streptophyta; Magnoliopsida; Malvales; Malvaceae
Exons: 7
Source: RefSeq, a predicted model, not a curated record
UGGCGAUUGGCAAUGAAAAAAAAAACCACCAAUUACUGUUUAACUGUUUUUAUGACCAUUUAAAAAAAAACAUGUUUUUAAGACCGUUGCUUCAACGAUGUUAACAGUUUUAUUACCCAAAUAACGAAAUCGGUGAGAAAAAGGAGAAAAUGAGUUUGGUUGUUGCUCCUCCUCACAGAUCGAUGAUCCACUGCAAAACCCCAAAAUUUCGCUUCAAAAAUCCACAAAAUCUCUUCGGUAAAACCUUGACUUUCUACUCUCUGAAGUCUCCGAUUCACUUCAAUUCGUUGCUUUGCCUACCAGUCAACUCAGUCCGUCCAGAGUCCCCCUCCAUUCAGACCCAUCAUCCCAUUCAGGAACUACUCCCUCUCCUUGCUUUCUCAUUGACCCUUUUGUGUUUUCGUCUUUUGUCCAAUGUCCUUUUGCCCGAUUUCGCUCUUCGUUGGCAAAGCCUCGUUGCUUUCUCUCGUGAAGCUGAAGCUCGGACCAAAUCUUAUCCAAAACAUCUAUGGGAAGCCAUCGUUGCUUACGAGGAUCGUCGCUUCUUUACACAUUUUGGGAUCGAUCCAGUUGGCAUUGGUCGAGCUGUUUUGUCGCUUUCGGCUCGUGGGGGAGGUAGCACCAUAACUCAGCAGCUUGUGAAGAACACCUUCCUGAAAAAUGAGCGCACAUUCUGGAGAAAGAUCCUGGAAAUGGUGUUGGCACUGGCACUAGAAAGGACAAUGUCAAAACAAAGAAUAUUGAGCUCUUAUGUUUGUAAGAUAUACUUGGGACAUGGUAUUAAUGGCAUUGAAUCAGCAUCAAAAUUUUAUUUUGGGAAGCAUCCAUCUCAACUGAGCUUGGCCGAGUCUGCAAUGCUUGCUGGACUUAUACCAGCCCCAGAGCAUAGAUCGCCACUCAGGGAUCGCAGCAGUGGCAAGACCUACCAGGCCAGAGUUCUGAAAAGGAUGGUGAAAUUUGGCUUCCUUGAUAUUAAGAUGGCACUUUUAACAGUGAGACAACCUCUUUAUGUACGUCUUAGAAGGCCAGAACAUGCUGAUGAACUUUCAGAUGCGUCAUCUUUCUCUGAGCUGGGAGUUGGACUAAAGAGCAAGGUGAAUGAAGAAGGUACGGAAUCAACACUAAAAGGUACAUGGGACUGGGAAAGAGAAAGCAAAAUACGAGAAGUAUGUGAGGAGAUGGAAAGAUGGGCCAUGAAGGCUGAACUCAGAAGUUCUUAAGACGAUCCACUGCUGGUAACAAUGACUAAUCUCCUCACCGUAGAUGCUCACGAAAGAGGCAAACAACUAACCAUAAAAUGUGCUCUUCGAAGAGGUCGAUUUGAUUCUCUCAAGAAGCAUGGUUCAUUAGUGUCAACAUAAAACACCUUCAAUUGUGACACGAGAAAAUAUACAAACACACUCCGGGAACUUGAGCUUUGAAGGCAGCAAUGGAGCUUUUCGUAACUCAUUUUAUUGUGGUGGCUUAUUAAGAACGAAGAAAACUGAUGUAUAUACCUUGCUCUCUGGUACAAAUCGUGUAAAUGUAUUAGAUGGAGAAUACUAACGGACAGCAAGGUAUUGUCACAGCAGGUGUUCAUUUCUAUGAACAAACCAACGUGUUCUCGUCAACUUUUGACAUCCCCGGGUUCAAAACAUAGCCAUCCCUGCGGCAACCCCCGGAUUCUAAGUAAAUCCUUUUGUCCAAA